UUCAACUCUUUAAAAGAGAUCGAUCUCUUUGGGAUGAAACCCAUAAUUUAUCAUCUCCUUCACGAACAAAGGGGGGGAGAAAAUCAAAGUCUUAAAGACUACGUACAGUAAAACUAAUAAGGACAUUAGUGGGAAACAUGAUGAUGAUUAUUAGGCAUCGUAUUUUGUCAAAUAGCACUGACAUUUAAACUUUAUAUGAGAACCACAUAUUGUUAACCGGUUUAUAUGUGAAAGUUUUGUCUUUAUAAACGGGGAGCGUUUUCUCAAUAUCAAACAUAGAAAGUUCACUAAGUGAAAUAAUGGAGGAGAGUAGAACUAUGUUGAAGUCACUGAUCUUACUAAUGAUGAUUUCCAGUUUUUGCCUCGAACUCACCGUUGCAGAAACCUACUGCCAUGCUCAACGUCGCUUGUUAAUUGACGCGUGCAAGAUAUUAAUUUUUAGGCAGGCUCCCCCCGCUGAAUGUUGUCGUAGAAUAAGAACGACUCCAGCGUGGUGCGUUUGUCCUUCUGUAACACCACAAAGAGCGGCUCUCAUCGAUGUCAACUACGCUGUUGGGGUAAUCCGUCAAUGCGGUCGAUAUGUAGCCCGCGGUACCAAAUGUGGAAGUAUUACAGUUCCAUAAAAAAAGCCGUUCGAGACAAUGGAGACGAAAAUAUCGUUGCCUGAAAACUAUCGUCCGUACUGUAUGAGUAUUCCACGUUGUAUCUGUUUUAAUAUUUGGGCAUUAUCGUUGGUCUUAUUUUUAUGUAGAAUAAAAUGAUGUCUGUGUUAUAAAUAGAACUGGAAUUUUAUUGUAUCGUAUGAAUUUAAAUAAGGGCAAAAUUUUAUACC
Long non-coding RNA from Brassica napus (rape), 832 nucleotides. RefSeq lists it as uncharacterized. The record is from RefSeq and is a predicted model, not a curated record. The transcript is spliced from 2 exons. NCBI's taxonomy places the organism in Eukaryota, Viridiplantae, Streptophyta, Magnoliopsida, Brassicales, Brassicaceae.